AAAAAAACCACCCACCCGCUAGCCACAACCCCUCCCCUAACCUCCCCCGAUCCCAUCUGGCCCCUCGCCCCGAUGUGCAUCGCCGCCGCAGCCUCCCUCCCUGCCCCGUGCCGCCAUCGGGCCCCGGCCACCUCCCGCGCCGCUGCCGGGCCCCGGCCACCUCCCCCGCCACCGGCUGGCCCCGGCCACCUACAACGCCGCCAUCGGGCCCCUCCCCUGCAGUAAUCCAGCCCGAGCGAGCCCAUCACCGAUUGCUUCUUGCCCCGCGGCGGAGCGCCGCCGCACACCCACCCACAACUACAACUCCCCCGCCCCGCCCACAUCGACCACACACGGUGCUCGGUCAUGGGGACAACUGAGCGGAGCUCGAGCUCUGGCUCCUCUCUCCUCUUGCGCGCCACCGGCCAUUGCACCUCGCCGUGGUACACUCGGCCAAGGGGGCAACCGAGCGACGCCUGAGCUCCGGCUCCUUUCUCCUAUUGCACGGGCACCAGCCCUUGCCGCACGCCUUGGUGCACAUCCGCGCCCAUUGGCCCCUCUCUGCUGGCCCGCCAGCCACUACGGCGGCGCUCCGGCGACCUCUCCACUCCUGUCUGCGUGUUGCGGCAUGGACGAACACCUCCUCCCUUCUAAUGGCAAAAAUGGGGAAAGGAGCAGCUUCAGUUUAAAAAAUGUGGCAGCUUCAGUUCAGUUUAUAAGAAAGGAGCAAAAAAGAAAGGUUGUUGGGCUCGUUUGUGCAAUAUGUGCAUAAAAAUGGGGAAAGUUAAACUUCAUUAUUAUUGCUUGCUCCUCCAGUGGCCGGAUCUCGCCACCAUGACCACUCAACUCGUGUUGUCGGUGACCUACCAAAGCCUAAGCGACGACCUGUACGAGGUCUAAGCAUGAAAUUCAUGCUUGAAUCUUCUCCAAAUUGAUAUUGCCUGCAACGGGGAGGGGCAAGCCUGUAGUCCAGCACUAUGAAGGGAGGAACUGCUUCUACUUUUCUUCUGAAAUCUCAAUGCCAUGUCUUGAUUUUCAGAGGUAGUUUUUGGUUUGUACCAACCAUUUAAGAUGGUAUCUCAUCUGAAUGUGGUAUGCAUGCAGGCCAGCGUUCUCAAGUGGCAGAGCGGAGCCGUUUGCCUAGCGGGUCGAGCAGGUCGUCAAGGGACAGCUCAAUGCAUAUUUCUACAAUCAAAGCACCACUCGACCGAGAAACACGAUGACAGUGACACGCUGGGCGAAAUUGGAGAGAAGGCAAGGACGAGGCGGAGGAGUUCAUGAAGAUGGCCAAGGAGAAGACUGACGACGUUGCCGAGGGCGCAAAGGAGACAGUGCAGGAGACCAAGGAGGUGGUGCUCGGCGAGUCCGACGAUGACAUGUACAAGUUCAAGCAGCGGGUCGAGCAGGGGAGCUACGAUCAAAAAUAAGUGAGAGGGAGGUGUUCCCUUGGUGUAUGUUUGCGCGCAGUCAUGGCCUGCCCAAAGCCAUUAGCUCUGCAAUUUGUAUGUCAACCACUAGGCUUGGUAUCUGUAUGUGUAAUGUGAUCUUGGUACUAUACAACUUGCCACUUCCCGCAGAAUAAGUAAUAUUGAGCUUCUGAAUGUUUUUUCUUCU
Triticum urartu is the source of this 1593-nucleotide long non-coding RNA. RefSeq lists it as uncharacterized. NCBI's taxonomy places the organism in Eukaryota, Viridiplantae, Streptophyta, Magnoliopsida, Poales, Poaceae. The record is from RefSeq and is a predicted model, not a curated record.